This 1348-nucleotide ribosomal RNA is filed under the name uncultured bacterium. Its description in RNAcentral is "bacterial SSU rRNA". It matches the Rfam family "Bacterial small subunit ribosomal RNA", at positions 28 to 1381 of the family's 1533-position model. The record is from RNAcentral.
GAUUAACGCUGGCGGCGUGCAUAACACAUGCAAGUCGAACGAUGAAACUUUAAUGAACCCUUCGGGGAGAAUUAAAGCGGAUUAGUGGCGAACGGGUGAGUAACGCGUGAGUAACCUGCCUUACACAAGGGGAUAGCCUCUGGAAACGAAGAAUAAUACCCUAUAAAACCAUAAAAGCACAUGCAAUUAUGGUCAAAGUAUUAGCGGUGUAAGAUGGACUUGCGUCUGAUUAGCUAGUUGGUGAGAUAAAAGCCCACCAAGGCAACGAUCAGUAGCCGGCUUGAGAGAGUGUACGGCCACAUUGGGACUGAGACACGGCCCAGACUCCUACGGGAGGCAGCAGUGGGGAAUUUUGCACAAUGGGGGAAACCCUGAUGCAGCGACGCCGCGUGAUUUAGAAGGCCUUCGGGUUGUAAAAAUCUUUUGUAUAGGAAGAAAAUGACAGUACUAUACGAAUAAGGUCCGGCUAAUUACGUGCCAGCAGCCGCGGUAAUACGUAAGGACCGAGCGUUGUCCGGAAUCAUUGGGCGUAAAGGGUACGUAGGCGGCUAGAAAAGUUAGAAGUCAAAGGCUAUAGCUCAACUAUAGUAAGCCUCUAAAACUAUUUAGCUUGAGAGAUGGAAGGGAAAGUGGAAUUCCUAGUGUAGCGGUGGAAUGCGCAGAUAUUAGGAGGAAUACCGGUGGCGAAGGCGACUUUCUGGCCAUUUUCUGACGCUGAGGUACGAAAGCGUGGGUAGCAAACAGGUUUAGAUACCCUGGUAGUCCACGCCGUAAACGAUGAGUGUUAGGUGUCUGGAGUCAAAUCUGGGUGCCGCAGCAAACGCAUUAAACACUCCGCCUGGGGAGUACGCACGCAAGUGUGAAACUCAAAGGAAUUGACGGGGACCCGCACAAGCAGCGGAGCAUGUGGUUUAAUUCGACGCAACGCGAAGAACCUUACCAAGUCUUGACAUAUUUUAGAAGCAAUUAGAGAUAAUUGCCUAUAUCUUCGGAUAACUAAAUACAGGUGGUGCAUGGUUGUCGUCAGCUCGUGUCGUGAGAUGUUGGGUUAAGUCCCAUAACGAGCGCAACCCCUAUUGCUAGUUACCAUCAUUAAGUUGGGGACUCUAGUAAUACUGCCGGUGACAAACCGGAGGAAGGUGGGGAUGACGUCAAAUCAUCAUGCCCUUUAUGACUUGGGCUACACACGUGCUACAAUGGCAGGUACACAGGGAAGCAAGACUGUGAAGUUAAGCAAAACUCAAAAAGCCUGUCCCAGUUCGGAUUGCACUCUGCAACUCGAGUGCAUGAAGUUGGAGUUGCUAGUAAUCGCAGAUCAGAAUGCUGCGGUGAAUGCGUUCCCGGGUCU